GACAGAGGGUGCAAACGUUGUUCGGAAUUACUGGGCGUAAAGCGCGCGUAGGCGGUUACUUAAGUCGGCUGUGAAAGCCCUCGGCUUAACUGAGGAAGUGCACCCGAAACUGAGUAGCUAGAGUACGAAAGAGGGUCGCGGAAUUCCCGGUGUAGAGGUGAAAUUCGUAGAUAUCGGGAGGAACACCGGUGGCGAAGGCGGCGACCUGGGUCGAGACUGACGCUGAGGCGCGAAAGCGUGGGGAGCAAACGGG
This 253-nucleotide ribosomal RNA is filed under the name uncultured bacterium. Its description in RNAcentral is "partial 16S ribosomal RNA". It matches the Rfam family "Bacterial small subunit ribosomal RNA", at positions 524 to 776 of the family's 1533-position model. The record is from RNAcentral.